GUUUAACUUGGAGUAGAAUUACCACUUGUUGAGAACCAUGUAGAAGCUAGAUGGUUAGUGAAAUUAUUAACAUUUUCAUCCUAGUCUUAUGAGUAUUGUCUGAGAGGGUAGCAUUCUUUUGUUUUUACCAUUAUUUAGUUCAAGUUAAAUAGUGUUGCCAGCAUGGAUUGAAGGGAAAGGAGGAUUAAAAUAGGCGAAGGAGAUGAUUUUAUCAUAGAAACAAUUCAAGUAAACAUACCAAGAGAGACCUU
RNAcentral lists this unclassified non-coding RNA (251 nucleotides) under Hevea brasiliensis (rubber tree). The record is from RNAcentral. Lineage: Eukaryota; Viridiplantae; Streptophyta; Magnoliopsida; Malpighiales; Euphorbiaceae.